Molecule: long non-coding RNA, 576 nt
Organism: Octopus bimaculoides (California two-spot octopus)
Lineage: Eukaryota; Metazoa; Mollusca; Cephalopoda; Octopoda; Octopodidae
Source: RefSeq, a predicted model, not a curated record
UAUAUAUACACAUAUACACACACACACACACACACACACACACACAUAUAUAUAUAUAUAGUCACAGAUACAGACAGACACACACAUACAUGUACAUUAUAGCUCUAUACGAUACGCACAUACAAAUAUAACCUCAUAUACACACACAAACACACAUAUCCACAAUACGCUAAACUCCAGUACGCCACACACACACACACACACGUUACAAACACGUACAUUACAGGAGCAUCUUUCUACACGGUGUGGUAAGUGUGUGCUACGGAAUACGUCACCAAUCUCACACACACACACACACACACAUACUCACGCACAGCCAUAUACAUAUGUUGCCGCACACACAUCCACACACAUACACUCACACACACACACGCACACACGCACACACGCACACACGCACCUGCCUACAAAGGUUCUCUCUGUGUCUUUGCAUUAUGAAAUGACUAUAUCGUCUCAAACCAUUAAAACGAUCGUGGAAGCGGAUUCGCUAAGUCAACACCACCACACAAGGCUACUUGAAACGCCCAAUUAACAGAUAAAUUAUUCUCUGGUGGAAGGAACUGAUACAAGAAUUAG